Molecule: long non-coding RNA, 334 nt
Organism: Xiphophorus hellerii (green swordtail)
Lineage: Eukaryota; Metazoa; Chordata; Actinopteri; Cyprinodontiformes; Poeciliidae
Exons: 3
Source: RefSeq, a predicted model, not a curated record
GGUAUGAAUCAGGAUCAGGACUAACCAGUUCAGACUCCAUUCAGCAGCAGAGCAGAGUCUGGAUCAGGACAGUUACUGGAACUGAAUCACUGGGACUGACUGGUUCUGGUUUCUCUCUCAAGACGUCCAGAAGAUGGAAGAUCUGGAUCGGAAAAAGAACAGAGCAGAACCUACAGGAUCCAUCUGUCCCUCCUUGAGGAGUGAUUGGUCCAAAGACCCUCCUCCAGACAUCAGUACCGAAUCUGGACCAUCAGACUCAGAAGGGCAGAACCACAGAUGGAGAGCAGAACCUCAAGGAUCCAUCAGUCCGUCCAUGAGGAGUGAUGUCAACAAA